Molecule: RNA transcript, 7341 nt
Organism: Oncorhynchus kisutch (coho salmon)
Lineage: Eukaryota; Metazoa; Chordata; Actinopteri; Salmoniformes; Salmonidae
Exons: 2
Source: RefSeq, a predicted model, not a curated record
AUAGGAAAUUAUUUCCAAUUCGUGACAUCCAAAAGACGAUUGACUCAGAUUUAUCUCCUUGUAGUGCAAGCUGAAAAUGGAGACCUGCAAGGUUAUCCCUAUCCGUCACCGCCAGCAGCAGCAGAAGUUCCAGUCUCAAUAGAGUCUGUGUCUAAAGAGCACAACAACAAAGGUCAUGGUGGAGCAGUAACAAUGCCCACAGAGAAUAGCCACCUCCAGACUGUGGCUGUAAGUGCAUCCCCAGGGACAGAUUUGUUCCAUACGCCACAUGAAAGGCACAAUUUCACGAACGCCACAACUGCUGAAGAUGCAAUUGCUACUUCAUCAACUGGAGUCUUUGUUUGGAAAGAGGGCUCCGAUUUACCUAUGCCAGCUGAGGCCACUGAAGCAAAUCUCACAUUGAUCUCUAAUUAUGAAGCUGGAUUUGAAUCGAUGAAGAAUGGCACCGUGAUGCCUGUGGUUCAUUUGUCCAAAGGCGUGGAGGAAGAGAAAGAGAAAGCCUCAGAAUUGCCGCUUCACUCUCUACUUGUUAACAGGAAUCAAAGAAUCGCUGAGUCUAUCACUCUUAUGUCCACACGACGGAGGCUGGGAGUACCUAUGGUGACUGCCACUCGUCCUCACAUAAUUGAUAACUGGGCCAAGUCAAAUGACAAUGAGGAAAAACGAGGCCAAGACGCAGAUGAAAAUGGGAUUUUGGAAUUGAGUGAGUCAGAAUCCAUCUUGCAUGACAGAAAGGAAGUUUCUUUGACUACGGAGCGCGUGAUGACAAACAUGUGUUUGAAUUGCCUGCAAGAAAAAAGGCCAUCGUCAACAGAAGAAAUGGCUGUUCUGUCUGCGUUGUUCGACCGAGGCAGCUCACUCAGUCUUGGAGGAAAUGGAAAUAUGCUUACUGUAAACUCCAGUCACCACAAGGCCUCAAUGCCGAGCUCAUUUGAAGCGACAACAAAGAAACAAGAGGACAGAACAGUAUUAUUUGAUGGUGCCAAAACAUCCAAAAAGAGCACAUUUGAUUUCUCUGUAAAUCUUUUGGAUGGGCUAGAUUAUGAGUUCAUACCACCCCUUUCCUCAUUAAACUCUGAAAUGAAUCUCAGUAAAACCAUGUUGAAUGAUUCAUUUGCUAGUACAUCUUUCUCAAACUCGGGAACGAUUGAAGUCAAGGCAAACACAACCAGAACAGUGUUUCUUACUUCAAAGGUGGAAAAUAUGACAGUUUCCAGAUUGAGUGAUAUUAGCAAAUCUUUUGAUAAAAGGUUGUUAUCAACAACCAGCAUGCCUUAUCCUUUAACUUCAGAGAUCUUUCACACUUUAUUAUUAUCAUUGAGAGAUAAAGAAGAAAAUAUAUCUGGGAAGACUGUGAAUCUCAGAAACCAGUCAAAAUUGGUUUCUCAAAUCCAAGAUAAUUCAUCUGUAAAACUACAAAACAUAUCCUCCGGUUUACGACAUAGUUUUCUUGGCAAUCACACAUUGGCGGGUGUUGACAUUACAAAUAAGGACACAGAGUUUAGUUUAGAAGAUGGGGGAAGGGAAGAGCGGGAGCAUGCUGUUGGGCAAGUUAUGACAAUUCCUCUCACCAAUGCUCCAUCUCCUUCUGUCCAUGUUCUCUCUGACCAGAACAUUGAAAACAGUGGGGUUAAUGACCCCAUCAGUGGGGCUAAUGACCCCAACAAUGGAUCAAUGAUAAGUGGUAUGCUAGACUCGUUUAAUUCUCUCUUUAGUCAAGCUCGUGAAAUAAUCACAGCAAAAAGCCACACCACUGACCACAUUGACGUUUCAGCCUUGCCUAUGAGAAUGCCAUCAAUCGAAAGCCAAAGUGCAACAACAUCCUUCCGCUCUACGAGGCAGACCACGGCAGCUGUCAAAGUUCCUCCUGCCUCUCAGGCUCUGACAGGGAGUGCGAAAUCUUUGAUGUCUGUGUUGAGUACCACUGGCUACCUGCCAGCACAGCCCAGUGUUCUGUUCAAAGAGCAGCAGCCUAUGAGCCUCCUGCCAGACGUCCCUAACAUGCAACGUGCAUCUGUAACUAUGAUGAGAACAUUGUCCAAAAAGCCGUUUGCCGACAAUGCAAACGGUAUUGAUAAACGGACUGCGCCUCCAGUUGUUUUGUCACAGACAGUGAAGCCAAGUGCUAAAGUAAAUGCUCAGUUGCCCAGAACAACAGAGAAAGGACUUACGUUUUCCACAAAGCGUAUUUCUGAAACCACAAGUAAGUUAGACAUUUAUGUGUCCACCAUGAUGACGACAAGAACACACGUCGAUGUGAAAAGGUCAACCGAGCAAAGACUUGCCGUAGGUCGCGGUGACAUCAAGUCGAGUGGUGACACCUUUCGAAUCUCUGCCGACAGUGCUGGGAACCUUGAACCACCUAAAGAAUUGAAAAAUGUGAACAUACUAAAGCUGAAAAACAACAGAGGACAGGAGUCUGACUUCUCUCAGCCUCAAGGUUCUCUUGAGGAGGUGACAGAAAUGACAAUGGACAAGAGCAGUACUGUUCACCAUGGGAUAAUGAAAACCACAGAAAGGCUGGCUCGAGAGGAAAAACGCACCUCUCCAAACUUGUCUCCCUCCCAUCUUUUAAUGAAACUGUUGGGAGCAACGGCAAGAGACAUUCAUCGGGCUGAAAAUCUCUCUGAAUCGCUGGAAGACGAAAAUAAGUCAUUCUCUAGCCAAGCGCCAAGUCAUAAAAUGCCAGUGCAGACUGUGAUAACCCCAAGCCAGACACUAUCACGAAUGGUAUCUUUUAAUAAGAAACCACAUAUUGUGUCUAAACCACAGCAAUUCUCUACCCAUAGGGUCACGCUUACAAAAUAUGCCGAUGCGUCAACAAACCAUAAGCAAAGCAAUCAGCAAAGGCACUCAACAAAAGGUAAAAAACAAGUGUUUUUGACGACUUCCUCGCGGAGCACAGGCCCUCCAAAUCAAAUCAGAAAUGUGAAUGUAACAUUUGACGUCUCUCCAGAGAGUGUGAAAUCAACAUUUUCUACACCUGACAGUGUUGGAAAUCUGUUUUCACUUACCGCUGCAAAAUCAUUAAUCCCAGUUGGGCAGUCAACUAUUCAGCCUAAUAUUGCAGUAAAGACAUCUACUUCCCACACAUCAGUAAUUCAACAUGUUUCAGCUCAAAAGCAUCACAUAAGCAUUUCGACAUCAACAACAUCAGGAAACUCAGUCUCUCAGUCCAUAACUGUUGGAAAACAUCUACAGCGUGUAGGACCGGCGACACCUCUCUUUGACAUUGUUAAAGAGGACGUCAUGACCUCUGACAUCACUGAAGCAUUAAAGGGGAGCCACCUUGUUCCCCUCUUACCGCCUCGUCCGUAUAAUGACACAUCGACUAGUCCACCCACCGACAAUUACUCGCCCACAGGGCCACUUACCGCCAGCCUGGCUUUGCAUCAUCGCCAAGGGCAAUCUUCUUCUGAGAUAAUGCCUUUCGGCGCUCCAUCUCAAAGCCAAUGGGACUCGUUUACAGAUUCGGAGGAGAAAGAGGAACGGCAUUCAAAUGCCUCACAUGCUUCUGCCGAUAACGAGCAAAUAAGCCCUUCAGAGGCUCCAAUAGUGCAUGAAGUGAAAAGUGAGCAUUCUGGGUUUAGCACAUGGACGGCGCCGUUCGCUACCGAUAGUUCUGCCACCAGCCACAUUAACUUAACUCAAUCACGACCUGAUGAGACCAUGGGAUUGAGGGCCAAGGAACCCGCCCUGCCACGUGCACUACUGCACCAGACCACUAAUGGGGUUGGGAAUGACCAUGCUUUGUCUGGAGUAAGUCCAGCGCAUGAGUCUGGUAGAAAGCUCCUGGGUUCUGGGAGUGGGUCAGAUCCAUUGGCCUUGCACCAGAGAAUUGGGUUAUCAUCCCCUGAUCUCCUCACUGGGUAAUUAUCACAGGAUAUUUCAUUUAAUUAACAAAAUAAUGUAUUGUGAUAUUAAAAAGUGCAUUCUAAUAUUAACAUUCAACAUUAGUUAGUCAAGUUAUUUGAAUUGAAUUGGAUAGGCGGUAACACUUUACCUUAAGUUAACUUAACUAUACCUAUGCGACUACACAGUAAUAUAGAUCUUUUUUUAAACAUGUAUUUGCAUCACAAGUGCUUUUUUAAUUCAUAGGCUUCAUGUUUGUUCUAAUCUGUUUUCAGAUUAGCGGUCAUUUCCGAUGAUAUUUGUGCCACUGGAAACUACACGGCCGAGAUGAACUUGAACCUGGAGCGCGACGUUCUGCCCGGAGACUUGGUCCCGGCUCUGGGGAUUCUCCACGUGGUCAUCAACCUGAAAACCAACAACAGCCAGGUGAACCUAGAGAUAAAGUCCUGCUGUCUCUCGCCCACUGUUCAGCUUGAUGACAUCAACAUAACCUGUUAUGUGUUUUCCAGGUAGGUGUUCAUAUUGUUGUGUUUCAUAUAUGGAAUAUCUCCAGCAGCCCGACUACCAACAGCUCCAGAAUGGGACUAAACUCUCAAUGCUGACUAACAUUCCAAUCAAGUCAAAUAAUGUCCUGGAAUCAAAUUGAUCCAGGUUAGCAGGCAUGUGUUAAAUGUUGGAAUAUUUUUGUUCGCCGUAUAUAGACGGCACCGCCCAAGGCUUGCUUGCUGAUGGUCUUAUCGCAGUUAAUUAAGCAGCAUUUCUGGGAUGGAUGGCAAAUUAAACAUUUAGAGAGAGCAGAGCGAGAAAAAAAAAGAAAAGAAAAAACUCAUGUCUACCAACAGUAAAUAAACUCUUUAGCUGUGGACUACCACCACUUCCUAUAUCUGAACAGGGACGUUUAAUUUACUUGGAAAAGUGUUGACAAGGAAGAGGGGUGUCUUUUUAGUUAGGAUGGGGAUUGAAGGACAGUGAAACAUGUCUCCUUACGGUCAGGUUUGCUCCCAGACCAAUCUGAACUCCGCUUAUGUUGGCUGAGUAGCCUAUCAUUUCCAAAGAUCCAUCUUUUAAGUCUGAUAAAUCCCUGAAUUAGUGCUGAAUAUGCUUUUAUCAAAUGACUUGUCUUAAAAUCAUAUGGCAUAAACACAUCCUCAUCAGAGUUUUAGGAGAGGGGGCAUUUAUGCAGACUCAUAACCUCAAAUGGCAAGGCCUUCAUGAUCAAUAUGAACAGGAAGUCAAUGAUAACCACCAACUCCAUUGUUCCACUCUUCUUUACUUUGUGUUGACUUGCGGUUGUCGGAAACAUUUGGGACCUUUGCUAUUUGAAUUACACUCACUAUCAAAUUCACUUCAAAACAAAGUUCGGUGUCGUUCCAAUCAAAUGUCCUGUGAACGUUUUUAUGCUUCUGUCGACCGACACUCAACCCCCCCUCUCAGUCCCACAGUUGUUGUGAUUUGUUGUGUGAACUUCCAGGUUACCGCUGAACCCGCGAGGAAUCAGGCUGUUACCCAGCAUCCUGUCAAAGCGCGCCAGCUUCACCAUCAGUCUCUUCCAGAUGAUUAAUUACUCCAUGGCAUACCUACACUGCGAUCUGAGCAUCUGCCUCAGGAACCAUACCGAGUGUGAGAGGGUGAGACUGGGAUGCUAGUAGUAAGGGCGAGGCAAUUUUAUCGCAUGCACCGAUCAGUUAAGGAAGAGGUGGGGAGUAUGGGAUGUAGGAGAGGGGAAAUUGUGUGGGUUAGACUACGGUUCGGGCACACAGGUCUGAAUGCCAAGUUGUGGAUGAUGGGGAGACAUGAAACAGGUCUGUGUGAUGUGUGUUCAGUGGGGGAAAUGGGGGAGCAUGUGUUGAUAUUUUGUGAACUGUGUGACGUCGACAGGGAGAAUUUGUGUGAAAGAGUUAGAGAUCCUGGACAGGGUUGGGGCUUUGGGUGGUGUAGUGGGAGGAGGAAAGGGGAGGGAGGUGGUGUCUAGGGCUCUAUUUCACUUUUCUUAGAGCCAUUGGGGGAAACAAGGAGACUUACUGAGAUACUGAGAUGGAGAUGCCCCCCCCCCAUUGGAAUAGCUGGAGAUGGAACAUUCUCAUAAAGCUACAUUUCUUUCAAUUUCUAUUGUUUAGCCUGUAGCCUAGCCUAGCGAGCCGCCUUCAAGUUGAUAAUAGGCCUUUUAUGUGUUGUUUAGUAUGUUGCCUAGCAUUAGAUCUAGUGUGCUGCCUUCAAGCUCAAAAUAGGCCUUUAUGUGUUGUUUGAGGUAUAUAGCCUUGCAUGUAGCCUUCAAACUAAAACCUCACUAUUGUUAGAAGAUUAAUUAUGUGCUGUAUAAAAUUAUUUAUUUCCAGUGACAUUGAUAUCAAACAACAACAACAACAACAACUGAGGCAACAUGUUUGAGGCAUGUUAAUAACAGAGGAGUGAUGUACACUACACUAUGCACCUGGAAAGAGACCCGGAAACAUCGUAAUUACCGGUUAUCUCCUCCAACUCAUCGUUUUCCACACACACACACACGCCAUGUUUUUCUCUGUUCUGACUGCAGCAGUGUCUUCAGCACAGAGACCUCUUCUCUGAAGAGGGUCCAGAGGCUAUCACCAAUCUGAGGAACCGCAUAUCCUUUGGUCCCAUGUUGAAAGGAGCAGAGAAUUCUUCUCUCCCGGGGGAGAUGGAUACAGCAGCUGAGAUGGAGAUUAUGCUUGUCAUCCUGGGGAUGGUGGUGGGGUGUUCGCUGAUGACAGGGACCCUGCUGCUUCUCUGGAUGGCCUAUAGACGGCGGAGGGCCGAUUGGAUGGUUUACUCAGAGUCCAGAGCGUGCUGCGGCUGCCUGCGUAGAGGAGACAUGAUCUUACCAUAGCCAAGUAGGAGACAAUGGUCAAUCACGUCAUCCUGCAGACCAGACCAGACCCUGACCAGAAUCAAUCCAAUUCACUCCUAUCAUACGUGACACCCGGGCCGAGCUUCUGUGGUCCCAUAUCUCACUCCCUUCACCGUCGCAGUGAAUGCCUUACCUUUACACUGUAGUAAUAUGACACAUAAACACAUGUACAGAACAGAUUACCUGAUGGUCGAUUAUCUUGGUCAAUUUUUUUGCAUGGUAACAAUUGCUAAUUCACCAAACAACUGUGCACAGUGAAGAUGAAUUGACGAUCAAGAGUGUUUUAUGAUCAUGUGAAUGCACCAUAUUAUUAUUUCUAGUCUCUUGUACUAAGUCCUCUAACCCUGCCACUAUCUGGAAGUAAUUGUUUGUUAAAAAAAAGUUUAUUAUCCUCUCAAUGAUUCUCAAUCAUCAUCUCAAGCAUGACGCAUAUUAUCAUACCAAUUCUGGCCAAUUGCUUUUAAAAACAAUACAGAUCACGGGCUACUUUCACUAAGACACCAAUGACACCGACAACUUAUUAACAUCCCUGUCUGCACUACUUCAUCAUGCACCAUAUUACCUCAAAUGCUACAACAGUUUGUUCCUGAUUUGCCACAACCUCAAAUGAUUAAACAACUUCC